CCUACGGGAGGCAGCAGUAGGGAAUAUUGCUCAAUGGGGGAAACCCUGAAGCAGCAACGCCGCGUGGAGGAUGAAGGUUUUCGGAUUGUAAACUCCUUUUGUUAGAGAAGAUAAUGACGGUAUCUAACGAAUAAGCACAGGCUAACUCCGUGCCAGCAGCCGCGGUAAUACGGGGGUUGCAAGCGUUACCCGGAAUCACUGGGCGUAAAGAGCGCGUAGGCGGGAUAGCAAGUCAGAUGUGAAAUGCUAUGGCUUAACCAUAGGACUGCAUUUGACACUGUUAUUCUAGAGUAUGGGAGUGGUAGGUGGAAUGUUUGGGGUAGGGGUGAAAUCCGUAGAGAUCAAGAGGAAGACUCAUUGCGAAGGCGGCCUGCUAGAACAUAACUGACGCUGAGGCGCGAAAGCGUGGGGAGCAAACAGGAUUAGAUACCCGUGUAGUC
Molecule: ribosomal RNA, 440 nt
Filed under: uncultured bacterium
Lineage: Bacteria
Description: partial 16S ribosomal RNA
Rfam family: Bacterial small subunit ribosomal RNA
Source: RNAcentral